AGUGUGUGGCUGUGACUUGGCACAAGGAGGCUUUUUUAUUAAGAAUGGGGAGUAUCUUUGCACCUUGGAUUACCAGCGCAUGUAUGGAACCCGCUGCAACGGUUGUGGGGAGUUUGUGGAAGGCGAAGUAGUGACAGCUCUGGGAAAAACUUACCAUCCAAGCUGCUUUGCCUGUACUGUUUGCAAGCGUCCAUUUCCACCAGGCGAUCGAGUUACCUUUAAUGGAAGGGACUGUCUCUGUCAGAUGUGUGCUCAGCCAAUGUCCUCCAGUCCAAAAGAAUUGUCUGCCUCAAGCAGUAAUGUCUGGUACUACAGGUAGGAACAGUCACUUACAUAUUUCAAUAUGAAUAAAUGACUUUUCCCCCAAUGACUGCAUUUUUAAAAGGGCUGAUUUUUCUUUUAUAGGCACUGGAAAAGUAUCUAAUUGAUGAAACCUGAGGCUUCCAAGUUGAUAGAUUCCAUCCUUUUCAUAUAUAAUUGCACAGGUUUAAGUAUUCAAAAGAGGACAAAGUCAGAGG
Molecule: long non-coding RNA, 518 nt
Organism: Antrostomus carolinensis (chuck-will's-widow)
Lineage: Eukaryota; Metazoa; Chordata; Aves; Caprimulgiformes; Caprimulgidae
Exons: 3
Source: RefSeq, a predicted model, not a curated record